UGGUACCUAGGGAGGCAGCAGUGGGGAAUAUUGCACAAUGGGGGAAACCCUGAUGCAGCGACGCCGCGUGAGUGAAGAAGUAUUUCGGUAUGUAAAGCUCUAUCAGCAGGGAAGAAGCAAGACGGUACCUGACUAAGAAGCCCCGGCUAACUACGUGCCAGCAGCCGCGGUAAUACGUAGGGGGCAAGCGUUAUCCGGAUUUACUGGGUGUAAAGGGAGCGUAGACGGUA
RNAcentral lists this ribosomal RNA (230 nucleotides) under uncultured bacterium. Its description in RNAcentral is "partial 16S ribosomal RNA". It matches the Rfam family "Bacterial small subunit ribosomal RNA", at positions 333 to 580 of the family's 1533-position model. The record is from RNAcentral.